CUCUGUGCUCCACCAGAGCCCAGCUGUACCUUGGUUUCCACAGUUUCCACAUCAGCUCGUAGCAAUCUUCAAACCCUGCCAGGGAGACACCACCGUGCCUGGCUGGAGCCCCCUGGCUUGCAACAUCCCCUGGAAUCUGCAGCCCCAUGAGAUUGAGUAAUUCAACAAACAGUUACUGAGUGCCUACUGUGUGCAAGCACUCUUUGGGGACCUCAAGAUACAGCAGUGAACGAGAUCGAUAAAAAUCUGGAACUUGUCUUCAGUUUGGCGUGGGCGGAGCAGACAGACCACGCAUGCGUCGCGGGGGGAUAAAUGCUAAAGAAAAAACAUCACACAGGACAAGGGGAGAGAGCGACAGGACACAGUGCUGUUCUGUACAGGCUGGUCAGCGAAGGUGACGACUGAGUCAAUCCUGGGGCAUGGGAAGUCGCUUCUCUCAUGGUGACAGGGAAGGAAGGAGGAAAGGAAGACGGGGAUGCUGUUUAGUUUGUGGAAGAGCAAGGUCUGGACAACUUGUUUUAACCCUGAAUUGUUUCCAGUCAGAUAGCAACUGCUCAGCGAGCGGAUACCGUGGAGCCAGGUGCCUCGCGGGUGCGGGGGAGAUAGUGGGAAUCAGACGUCCCGCCCUGGAGGAACUGGUUGUCGCGUGGGGGAGACGGAGCUGGAAACAGACCAUGAGUGUGAGAGGGACACUACUCCACCGUGUUUGCAAAGGCACCAAGCAGAGCAAGAGAACGACAUGCUUGGGGCCAGCUGGGAAGUGGUGUUUUUCAUAUUACGCCCCGUGCAUGAAGGAGACAGAAGACAGUGCAUGUACAUGGUGGGAGAGACGGUCCACGGAAGUGGUUGUUUGUUUCAGAGGAGAUGGGUUGACAGUUUUUUCCCCCUCUUUCAAGCUUAUCAGACUGCUAUCCCGUCGCCUUUUGACUUCCAUUUUCUCUGAGAGGAAAGUCGUCCCUAGAGACGAGCGAUGUGCUGGCAAAUCUUCAAUUCCUGGCAUUCUGGCGGAAAGGAGGAAGGAAGUCCUGACUUGUAGCAGUUGCCAAUUUCUGUGGCACAAAUUGUGCUACCACCUCUGAUCUCCAGCUGCCAACGUGACAUCGCUGGCUUUGGAAACGGGAAGAGACGCCAGCAGCACCCCAUUCUACAGUCCUUCCAGCAUCCAGUUACAGUAGAUGCAAAAUCCUCGGUAGCAUGGGUAAUUGUAAACUGUAGGAAAAUAAUCAGGAAGGAAUGAAUUAUGAGUAUUUAUCAUCUUUUUUUAAUAUAACUUUUAAUUGUAAGUUUACGUAAUUUAAUUUUUAAGUAAUGACUGUGUUUAACAACUUACUUCCAAAAUUUCUGAACAAAGAGCAAUCAGCUCUCACGGUCUGGUCC
Molecule: long non-coding RNA, 1377 nt
Filed under: Equus caballus (horse)
Lineage: Eukaryota; Metazoa; Chordata; Mammalia; Perissodactyla; Equidae
Description: lncRNA (ENSECAG00000056668.1)
Source: RNAcentral